This 379-nucleotide ribosomal RNA is filed under the name uncultured bacterium. RNAcentral's name for it is "bacterial SSU rRNA". It matches the Rfam family "Bacterial small subunit ribosomal RNA", at positions 523 to 898 of the family's 1533-position model. The record is from RNAcentral.
AUACGGAGGGUGCGAGCGUUGUUCGGAAUUACUGGGCGUAAAGGGCGCGUAGGCGGCCUGUCAAGUCAUAUGUGAAAGCCCACGGCUCAACCGUGGAAGUGCAUGUGAAACUGGCAGGCUUGAGUACUGGAGGGGAAAGUGGAAUUCCCGGUGUAGAGGUGAAAUUCGUAGAUAUCGGGAGGAAUACCGGUGGCGAAGGCGACUUUCUGGACAGAUACUGACGCUGAGGCGCGAAAGCGUGGGGAGCAAACAGGAUUAGAUACCCUGGUAGUCCACAGCUGUAAACGAUGUGCACUAGGUGUAGGGGGUCGUUGACCCUUUCUGUGCCGGAGCUAACGCAUUAAGUGCACCGCCUGGGGAGUACGGUCGCAAGAUUAAA